AAUGCCGCGUGAGCUGAAGAAGGCCUUCGGGUUGUAAAGCUCUUUUGUCAGGGAAGAAACACCGGCUCUAACACAGUCCGGGAAUGACGGUACCUGAAGAAUAAGCACCGGCUAACUACGUGCCAGCAGCCGCGGUAAUACGUAGGGUGCGAGCGUUAAUCGGAAUUACUGGGCGUAAAGCGUGCGCAGGCGGUUAUACAAGACAGGCGUGAAAUCCCCGGGCUUAACCUGGGAAUGGCGCCUGUGACUGUAUAGCUAGAGUGUGUCAGAGGGGGGUAGAAUUCCACGUGUAGCAGUGAAAUGCGUAGAUAUGUGGAGGAAUACCAAUGGCGAAGGCAGCCCCCUGGGAUAACACUGACGCUCAUGCACGAAAGCGUGGGGAGCAAACAGGAUUAGAUACCCUGGUAGUCCACGCCCUAAACGAUGCUGACUAGUUGUUCGGGAUUUACAUCUUGAGUAACGUAGCUAACGCGUGAAGUCAGCCGCCUGGGGAGUACGGUCGCAAGAUUAAAACUCAAAGGAAUUGACGGGGACCCGCACAAGCGGUGGAUGAUGUGGAUUUAAUUCGAUGCAACGCGAAAAACCUUAACUAACCUUGACAUGUCACUAACGAAGUAGAGAUACAUU
Molecule: ribosomal RNA, 627 nt
Filed under: uncultured bacterium
Lineage: Bacteria
Description: bacterial SSU rRNA
Rfam family: Bacterial small subunit ribosomal RNA
Source: RNAcentral